RNAcentral lists this long non-coding RNA (414 nucleotides) under Hordeum vulgare. RNAcentral's name for it is "long non-coding RNA (HVUL_LNC015320)". The record is from RNAcentral. Lineage: Eukaryota; Viridiplantae; Streptophyta; Magnoliopsida; Poales; Poaceae.
UUACGGAAAAAAAAAAAAAAAAAAAAAAAAAAAAAAAAAAAAAAAAAAAAAAAAAAAAGAAAGUCUGGCACGCUUUCCAGAGCGCUUUUUAGGCCAAAAUUUCGAGGGGUGAAAUUUUUUUUUCCCUAUCGUUUUGUUAGGUUUUUUUAAAGAGUUUUGAGACCCUCGCCAUCAUAGUGAUUUUUUCGCAUUUUUUUUUGGCCGCCGCAGCCCCGCACCGCUACAAAAAAAAAAAAAAAAAAGUGUCCACAAAAAAUUUCGUCCCUAUCCUGUUUUUAGUCCUUGGGAAGAGUUUUGAGCCACUCGCCAUUAUAGUGAUUUCCUGAAGAAAAAAAAAAAGAAAAAAAAGAAAAAAAAAAGAAAGAAUCAGAGUGGCUCUUCCCUUGAUUAGUACGUGUCGUCGUGACUUCGUUG